Myotis lucifugus (little brown bat) is the source of this 75-nucleotide microRNA precursor. It matches the Rfam family "mir-9223 microRNA precursor family". The record is from Rfam. NCBI's taxonomy places the organism in Eukaryota, Metazoa, Chordata, Mammalia, Chiroptera, Vespertilionidae.
GGCGGUUCUCAGGCGAUGCACCCCAGAAUUAAGUUUCCUCCUCUCUGGUUCUGGGUGCAUCACCUGAGAACUGCA